GGCUUAUUGGUCUAGGGGUAUGACUCUCGCUUAGGGUGUGAAAGGACUUGGGUUCAAAUCCUGAAGGAGCCC
This 72-nucleotide transfer RNA is filed under the name Sarcophilus harrisii (Tasmanian devil). It matches the Rfam family "tRNA". From Rfam's summary of the family: Transfer RNA (tRNA) molecules are approximately 80 nucleotides in length. Their secondary structure includes four short double-helical elements and three loops (D, anti-codon, and T loops). Further hydrogen bonds mediate the characteristic L-shaped molecular structure. tRNAs have two regions of fundamental functional importance: the anti-codon, which is responsible for specific mRNA codon recognition, and the 3' end, to which the tRNAs corresponding amino acid is attached (by aminoacyl-tRNA synthetases). tRNAs cope with the degeneracy of the genetic code in two manners: having more than one tRNA (with a specific anti-codon) for a particular amino acid; and 'wobble' base-pairing, i.e. permitting non-standard base-pairing at the 3rd anti-codon position. Lineage: Eukaryota; Metazoa; Chordata; Mammalia; Dasyuromorphia; Dasyuridae. The record is from Rfam by way of RNAcentral.